UUUGAAUAAACCCAGUAUGUUAAGAAACAAUGUAAUUGCCUUUCCACUUAAUUUGGAGCCUCACGCCUCGCAACUUUCUAUGAACUAUUACCCUAACCAUCCAGUUUACUACAGAAAAAGCACACGACUCUCGCACAGGAGUUUUCAAAGAUGGUCCCUCCUGACAGUACUCACCUUAAUACUGCUUUUUGAAUCCUCUUUUUUGUGUGUCUAUGUGUUUGUUCUUUGUGCCCAGUUCCCUAGCUGUCUCCUCAUUGAUUGUCUGCCAUCAGAGCUGGUUAAGGGAGAGCUGGGCCUCCGCUCCCAGCUUUACGGAGAUUAAAGAGGCAAAAUUGGCUUUCUCGGUUUACGAGAGCUUGGAUCAAAAAGGUAUGAAGCUGAGCCAGCGGACGUUGCUGAGAGCAUUCAAGAUGUGCGGACGAGCGAUCGCUCCACUGAAGCUCGCACACAGAAUUAAGCACCUGAGGGCUGGCUUUGCUGAAGAAGGACGACUGCAGCUCUAUGAGUUCCUUGACCUUCUGCCCCUCUGUGAGCCCCAGGAUAAUGUUCUCAUCCGGGAUAGCUGGGCUGGGUCGACGGAGAUGAUAAAAGGAAACACGUACAAGGUGAGGACAGAUCCUCCUGCAGUGUAUCUUCAGUCUAGAGAGAUCUGAAGAAAUGAAA
This 663-nucleotide long non-coding RNA is filed under the name Lepisosteus oculatus (spotted gar). RNAcentral's name for it is "lncRNA (ENSLOCG00000021039.1)". The record is from RNAcentral. Lineage: Eukaryota; Metazoa; Chordata; Actinopteri; Semionotiformes; Lepisosteidae.